Molecule: transfer RNA, 124 nt
Filed under: Kwoniella bestiolae CBS 10118
Lineage: Eukaryota; Fungi; Basidiomycota; Tremellomycetes; Tremellales; Cryptococcaceae
Description: tRNA-Met
Rfam family: tRNA
About the family: Transfer RNA (tRNA) molecules are approximately 80 nucleotides in length. Their secondary structure includes four short double-helical elements and three loops (D, anti-codon, and T loops).
Source: RNAcentral
AACUCUGUAGCUCAGAGGAUAGAGCGCAAGGCUCAUAACACUUGAAACAUAGAAUUUAGAGAGAUACAUACAUACCGUAGUAUUUUAAACCUUGAGGUCGCUGGAUCGAAACUAGCCAGAGUUA